RNAcentral lists this ribosomal RNA (363 nucleotides) under uncultured bacterium. RNAcentral's name for it is "bacterial SSU rRNA". It matches the Rfam family "Bacterial small subunit ribosomal RNA", at positions 29 to 419 of the family's 1533-position model. The record is from RNAcentral.
AACGAACGCUGGCGGCAUGCCUAACACAUGCAAGUCGAACGCGUGUAGCAAUACACGAGUGGCGGACGGGUGAGUAACGCGUGGGAACCUGCCCAGUGGUAGGGAAUAACUGCGGGAAACUGCAGCUAAUACCCUAUACGCCCUUUGGGGAAAGAUUCAUCGCCAUUGGAGGGGCCCGCGUCGGAUUAGCUAGUUGGCGGGGUAACGGCCCACCAAGGCAACGAUCCGUAGCUGGCUGAGAGGAUGAUCAGCCACACUGGGACUGAGAUACGGCCCAGACUCCUACGGGAGGCAGCAGUGGGGAAUAUUGGACAAUGGGGGAAACCCUGAUCCAGCAAUGCCGCGUGAGUGAAGAAGGCCUUC